UGUUCUCUUCAGAGCAGUGUCCUUUAGCUGGCUGCUCACAGUCUGGCAGUAGCUCUCAGUUUAGCAUCGACAGGAGUCUCUUGGGGGCUUAGGAAAGCAGAGCUCACAGGCCCACCCAGGCGGCUGGGUCAGAAGAGAGGGAAGAGCCGAGGCUGAUUCCUAGGCUGCUGGAUCGGAUGCCAGAGGCGUGGCGUUUGGAAGACGGAAAACGCUGGAUGGAGAAGGAGCUGGGCUGAGGGGAAAGACGAGGAGCCUCAUUGGGUCAUGCUGAUCCUGAGAUACCACGAAGACAGCCCAGGAGUGGCGGUCCCGCGGCCUCCUGUGAUACAUGCGGCCCGGCCCUCAGUGAACAAGUCUGGGCUGGAGAUACAGACCCGGCGUCAUCACCACAGAGGCGGUAAUUAGGGCCCUGGGAGAAGAUGAGGUCACCCCAGGGGGCAGACAGAGCAAGACAGGGUUUCAACUUCACAGUAAAGUUCCUGAGUCAUGGACGAUCUGCAUGCGGUGAAUCACCCUGAGAAAAGCCUUGUUAUCUGGUUGAUGUGGCCAAAUUCAAAGGUACUAGCAUCAUUCAUUGGAGGCGUUUUAUUUAAUCAAAGGGCCUAGUGCCAAGAACGAUGGUGGUGGCAAAGGAGGAGGAGAAGGACAGAAGGAGGAGAGAAAAGGAAGAUGACAAAGCCACGAUAACAGCACUGCUCUCCCUGUGUCAGGCCUGGUCUAAGUGCUCUGCGUGUGCAAAGUACUGAAGCAGCUGCAACCCUAACCCUACGAGAUGUAUUGCUUCUUCACAUCCUGGAGAAUGUAGUGUGGGAAUUGCUGGUCUAAAAAAAAGACUAAAGCAAAAACAUCAGAAGAAAGAUUCUCCCGCAGCCCUCCUGUUAUUACUGGUUAGUUUCACUCUAAAUCUUGCUGUUCUUCGAACAAGACGGAAAGCUAACAUCUAGGCACACAGGGACUCACCUUUAAC
Myotis myotis is the source of this 967-nucleotide long non-coding RNA. RefSeq lists it as uncharacterized. NCBI's taxonomy places the organism in Eukaryota, Metazoa, Chordata, Mammalia, Chiroptera, Vespertilionidae. The transcript is spliced from 3 exons. The record is from RefSeq and is a predicted model, not a curated record.